This 255-nucleotide ribosomal RNA is filed under the name uncultured bacterium. RNAcentral describes it as "partial 16S ribosomal RNA". It matches the Rfam family "Bacterial small subunit ribosomal RNA", at positions 524 to 776 of the family's 1533-position model. The record is from RNAcentral.
UACGUAGGGUGCAAGCGUUGUCCGGAAUUAUUGGGCGUAAAGAGCUCGUAGGCGGUCUGUCGCGUCUGCUGUGAAAACUCGGGGCUUAACCCCGGGCCUGCAGUGGGUACGGGCAGACUAGAGUGCGGUAGGGGAGACUGGAAUUCCUGGUGUAGCGGUGAAAUGCGCAGAUAUCAGGAGGAACACCGGUGGCGAAGGCGGGUCUCUGGGCCGUAACUGACGCUGGAGGAAGCGAAAGCGUGGGGAGCGAACAGG